RNAcentral lists this ribosomal RNA (820 nucleotides) under uncultured Gammaproteobacteria bacterium. Its description in RNAcentral is "bacterial SSU rRNA". It matches the Rfam family "Bacterial small subunit ribosomal RNA", at positions 58 to 873 of the family's 1533-position model. Lineage: Bacteria; Pseudomonadati; Pseudomonadota; Gammaproteobacteria. The record is from RNAcentral.
CAAGUCGAACGGUAACAGGCCCGCAAGGGUGCUGACGAGUGGCGGACGGGUGAGGAAUACAUCGGAAUUUGCCCAGUCGUGGGGGAUAACGUAGGGAAACUUACGCUAAUACCGCAUACGACCUAACGGUGAAAGCGGGGGAUCGCAAGACCUCGCGCGGAUGGAUAAGCCGAUGUCGGAUUAGCUAGUUGGCGGGGUAAAGGCCCACCAAGGCGACGAUCCGUAGCUGGUCUGAGAGGAUGAUCAGCCACACUGGGACUGAGACACGGCCCAGGCUCCUACGGGAGGCAGCAGUGGGGAAUAUUGGACAAUGGGGGCAACCCUGAUCCAGCAAUGCCGCGUGUGUGAAGAAGGCCUUCGGGUUGUAAAGCACUUUUAUCAGGAACGAAACGCGCACGGUUAAUAACCUUGCGAACUGACGGUACCUGAGGAAUAAGCACCGGCUAACUUCGUGCCAGCAGCCGCGGUAAUACGAAGGGUGCAAGCGUUACUCGGAAUUACUGGGCGUAAAGGGUGCGUAGGUGGUCGUUUAAGUCCGUUGUGAAAUCCCUGGGCUCAACCUGGGAAUGGCAGUGGAUACUGGACGGCUAGAAUGCGGUAGAGGGUAGUGGAAUUCCCGGUGUAGCAGUGAAAUGCGUANAGAUCGGGAGGAACACCAGUGGCGAAGGCGGCUACCUGGACCAGCAUUGACACUCAAGCACGAAAGCGUGGGGAGCAAACAGGAUUAAAUACCCUGGUAGUCCACGCCCUAAACGAUGCGAACUGGACGUUGGGAGCAACUUGGCUCUCAGUGUCGAAGCUAACGCGUUAAUUCGCCGCC